Molecule: long non-coding RNA, 1145 nt
Organism: Paramisgurnus dabryanus
Lineage: Eukaryota; Metazoa; Chordata; Actinopteri; Cypriniformes; Cobitidae
Source: RefSeq, a predicted model, not a curated record
GUUAAAUUUUCAGGGAUGGUGUUAAAUACACAGUGUUGAUGCUGUUUUAACACUAUCUGGUAAUAAAAUAACACUGCCAUUGCUAGGCCAGUGUUAUAUUCACGGCAGUGUCAGUGUAAAACAAGGGUGUUAUCAGAUUUCACUCUGAGCGGUGUAAAUCAAGCCACGCCUCCACUAAACAUAUCCUGUCAGGGAUUUUACCGCCAUUUUCUUUCACAGGAGGACUGAAGAGAGCAGAUGCUAGUUUGGUGAAAGUUCACACUGAGUGCUUCAAAUCAUUCAGAAGAGAUGCUGUUUUUAGGGCAGUUUAUUAAAGAAGACCUGACAUGGAUGACUUCCAAUGAGAAACGACUGCUAAUACUUAUAUAAAUUCAUUACAGAAGGACCCUACCAGACUAUAUUUGAAUACGGCAUACCCAUGAAUUCUGGAACUGUUAUUCCUUAACCCAGUUUGGAGGAUAAGAGCUACCCAACUAGUUAUAAAUAUGCUGAGGUGAUGUAUUGCAAAAUAGCCAACAUACAACAAUAUGGAUGACCCUCUGUCUGGUCAACAGGAGUUUAAAUAUGGACGGGACAGUGAUGUGGCAGCUCUUCCCUGGCUCAUUCACCUCUUGCCUUCAUUUGUGAAAGGAAGAAAGACUGGAGAGGGUCAAUGUGCAACUGAAGCUACUGAUUGUGCUGUGUGAUGAGCAUCAAUCCAUGCUUUGAGGGGGAUGAAUCAGCACAGCCCUGCCUGCACUGAGUUGGGAACAGAAGUUGCAUCCAGAAUUUUUGCAUCAUUCUGGACCAAAAAGCCAUUCCCUCCAUGAUGAAGACCACUGAUGCAGCCUUCCACUACAUCAUGAGUAAAACAACUACAAAACUAAAUACCAGGUUGGAACCUAUUUAAGAAAAAUGAAACGUCUUUUGAAUUGAAAUGUCUGUUUUGUUAUGGAAAAAUCUUUAGUAUUGUGAAGGAUAAGCAUUUCUGCCUGCCAGUAAGGUAAUUGCAGUGUAUUUUAAUGUUCAAGUUUUGAGUAGGGUGGCUAAUUUUUUUUAAACUCUCAUUUGAUAUAUUAAAGACCUUAUAAUAAGUGGUUUUCAUGUCACUGCGCUGUGGUAUAAUAACUUUCAUUAUUCCAUACUGUAUUCUGUUUCUAAUUGUA